UUUUUUUUUUUUUUUUCAUUUAUUUUGAAAGGUGCAUUCACCAUGGUUACCAUUGUUUUCAAUGUCACAGUUCUCCAUAUCUCAAAGGCACGGAAAACAUUCUGUACUUUCAAAUCAGGGAGCAGACAAAUACAUUUUUUUAUUGUAACUUAUUUUUCACUAGAACCUUUAUGUUCAAAUCUACAACAUGAUUAGUCACCUGUACAGACUGAAAUCUGGAUAGCUGGAGAUGUUUUUAUUCAGUUGCUUUUAAACAAACAGCAACCAAACAUCAUUUAAAAUACGUGGAUUAAAAUGUCAUACCUCCACAUCAGUAGAUUUAAACUUGCUAAAGCAAGUUCUCUCGGCAUCUCCGUAAAAUAAUGUGUUCUUUAUAAAAAAACAAAAACAAAAAGCUUUAAAUCACAGUCUAAAUACUGUCAUAUACACUGCCUCACACUUAAUUGCAGUGAAACCUGUCAUAAUCCACCCAGCAGAGAAUGUACAGGUUGUUUUCAGGUAAAUAUAGAAUUCAAUAUUCAUGUAAUAUUAACUUUGUGAUAAAAGAUUAUUUCUAAAUAAUUCUUUUUUGUUUGUUUGUUUUUGUUUGUUUGUUUGGCUUUUUACAGCAGCCCCUGAGGCAUAUGGAGCGGCCCUAGAAAAGGCAAAAAAAAACAGAAAAAAAAAAAAAUGCAUGGCUAAAGCAUAUGUUCUGCAAAGAAAAUGUAUGAAAGCCAAUAAGUAAAUCUUAGAGCAAUGAACACAAACACCAACCACAGUCUUGGCAUGGUUUUCACUCAGACACCUGACUCCUUUGAAACACUGCAUACACCGUGGAGGGGAUCACAAAUUAGUCAGGUCAUAAAGUUGUGCACCUGGAAAUAUUUACUAUACUAAUAAGUUACCCAGAAGGUAGGAAAAUCAUGGUGUCUUACAAAUGGAGUGAUGGAGUUGAUUAUUUUAAUAAAAAGUCAAACCACUGAUGAAAUAAUGAAAACUUCCUUACACAGUUGAAGGAACUCUUGAACCAAAGUCACAGCAUCUUCAGGGCUUUAUCUUCGUUGCAAAAUGGAACUCUCCACAUUAUUACAGGCUGCUGUACACGCAGAAUAUUGCCAAAGGUUUAUUUUAGCCAUUCCUCCAACUCUGAUUAGUUACACCAAAGCUAUAAAAAUUAAACAGAAGUGAUUCAGCUUCAGCAGCCCCAGCCGGUUAUGACAGGCCAUCAUGGGAGGACCUGGAGACCUACAAAAGGAACCUGGCCCCUUAACGAGGUUUGCAUAAGUGGGUCAGCAGGCACCUGUGACAGGGUUCGGCCUCUUGAAGAAACAUAUAUUCCCUGCAGCAGCCUGGACCAAUUUUCGACAGCUGGGAAUUGAACCUUUAGGCUUUUAAAAGUCAUUGGUCAGAGUUCCCGUUGUGGUUCAGUGGUUAAUGAACCUGACUAGUUAGUAUCCAUGAGGACACAGGCUAGAUCCCUGGCCUCGCUCAGUGGGAUAAAGAUCCAGCGUUGCCGUGAGCUGUGGUAUAGGUCGCAGAUGGGGCUCGGAACCCGCAUUGCUGUGGCUGUGGUGUAGGCCGGUGGCUACAGCUCUGAUUCAACCCCUAGCCUGGGAACUUCCAUAUGCCAAAGGAGCAGCCCUAAAAAGACAAACCACACACAUCAAAAAAAUAAAUACAUAAAAGUCACUGGUUUUUUUUUUUUUCUAGAAGAAAACAUAAAUAUUUUCGCCACGUUUUAGGUUGUACACGGAGAAAGUGUGUGUGUGUAUAAUAUUAAUAUUUCUUUUCUCUUGAAAGAGAUAAAGUAACUUUAAGGUUAUGCUUACUAAACAUUUAAUGUUGAAAGAUUCAAUGAAAAGGUCAUUCUCAAAUGUGUAGUUCAUUUCUUGAGCCCAGCAACUGCAGGGGGAAAAAAUAAUUACUAGCAGAAAUACCUAAGCUAAUUUACCGUGUUUUAGGAAAGUUUAAAAAUUUUGGAAUAGCCAUCAACUUGACAUCUCUGAUAACUUUAAAGAUCUUUAAGUAUGUGUGCUUAAAUAUGAGAAACACAAUUGAAAAGCCACGUCAUCUUUCUACAGUCCUUGUACUAUAUGUAUACGUGUAGUGCUGAACCACCAAAAGAAACAGAGAUGAGCCUUUAGAAAGAACUCAUGACUUUUUCUUCUUGACAGAAAUCUUGUUUUGAAAAUAUUCAGCUCCGAUUCGACCCCUAGCCUGGGAACCUCCAUAUGCCGCGGGAGCGGCCCAAGAAAUAGCAAAAAAAAAAAAAAAAAGAAAAUAUUCAGCAAGGAAAUGCAAGGUUCCUAUCAAAACAGUGGCAAAGCAGUUUAAUGUUCUUAGAUUUGCAGUCCAGCCCUCUUUGUGGGAGCAGAAAGCUCACAUGCCCUACCUAGACAGCCUGUCUUCUGCUCCUGUUCAAGUGUACAAAGUCUUCUGCUUAAAGGACCAAUCAGUCUACAUCCAAGGCAAGCAAGAGGGCUCACCGUUUCAAUUAGCACAGGCACAGAAUUUUGGUUUUGGUUUAGUUUUUUUUUUUUUUUUUUUUUGCUUUUCCAAGACACAUCGAUCAUGUGGCAUAAAAAAGCAAACAUAACAGAGCUAGUUGUCUAUUAACUUGUUUUAAUUGAUGUGGGGAAAGUGCCUAAAUAAGUUUUCAUUAAAUUUGUCCAAAGACAAACAUUAAAGUUAUCUUGCUAAUCAAUGGUGGGUAACUUUAGUUCUAAGCAGUCUCCGCGAAUAAAAACAAUAGUUCCAACAGCUCUUCCUACCCUGUAC
RNAcentral lists this long non-coding RNA (2757 nucleotides) under Sus scrofa (pig). RNAcentral's name for it is "lncRNA (ENSSSCG00060024544.1)". Lineage: Eukaryota; Metazoa; Chordata; Mammalia; Artiodactyla; Suidae. The record is from RNAcentral.